GCGGGUAUCGUAUAACGGCAUUACCCUAGCUUCCCAAGCUAGUGACGAGGGUUCGACUCCCUCUACCCGCUCCA
This 74-nucleotide transfer RNA is filed under the name Rhodocyclaceae bacterium. RNAcentral's name for it is "tRNA-Gly". It matches the Rfam family "tRNA". Rfam says of the family: Transfer RNA (tRNA) molecules are approximately 80 nucleotides in length. Their secondary structure includes four short double-helical elements and three loops (D, anti-codon, and T loops). The record is from RNAcentral. RNAcentral also lists the same sequence under 1 other name. Lineage: Bacteria; Pseudomonadati; Pseudomonadota; Betaproteobacteria; Rhodocyclales; Rhodocyclaceae.